Molecule: ribosomal RNA, 1346 nt
Filed under: metagenome
Description: bacterial LSU rRNA
Rfam family: Bacterial large subunit ribosomal RNA
Source: RNAcentral
UGAGUACGAGCUGCUACGGCAGCGAAGUGGGUGAUGUCAUGCUUCCAAGAAAAGCCCUAUACCCGUUAAGGCAUGAUGGCCUGUACCCGAAACCGACACAGGUGGGGUGGUAGAGAAUACCGAGGGGCGCGAGGUAACUCUCUCUAAGGAACUCGGCAAAAUGGCCCCGUAACUUCGGGAGAAGGGGUGCCACCGCAAGGUGGUCGCAGUGAAGAGGCCCAGGCGACUGUUUACCAAAAACACAGGUCUCCGCUAAGUCGCAAGACGAUGUAUGGGGGCUGACGCCUGCCCAGCGCCGGAAGGUUAAGGAAGCUGGUCAGCGUAAGCGAAGCUAGCGACUGAAGCCCCGGUGAACGGCGGCCGUAACAUAACGGUCCUAAGGUAGCGAAAUUCCUUGUCGGGUAAGUUCCGACCCGCACGAAAGGCGUAACGAUCUGGGCGCUGUCUCGGAGAGAGGCUCGGCGAAAUAGAAUUGUCUGUGAAGAUGCGGACUACGUGCACCCGGACAGAAAGACCCUAUGAAGCUUUACUGUAGCUUGGUAUUGUGCUCGGGCUCGGAAUGCGCAGGAUAGGUGGGAGGCUAUGAACCAUUGCUUGUGGGUGAUGGUGAGCCACUGGUGAGAUACCACUCUUUCCGAGCUAGAGUUCUAACAGCCACCCGUUAUCCGGGGGCUGGACAGUAUCAGGUGGGCAGUUUGACUGGGGCGGUCGCCUCCUAAAAGGUAACGGAGGCGCGCAAAGGUUUGCUCAGGCUGGUUGGAAAUCAGCCGACGAGUGUAAAAGCAGAAGCAAGCUUGACUGUGAGACCUACAAGUCGAACAGGGAGGAAACUCGGCUUUAGUGAUCCGACGGUUCUGCGUGGAAGGGCCGUCGCUCAACGGAUAAAAGUUACUCUAAGGAUAACAGGCUGAUCUCCCCCAAGAGUUCACAUCGACGGGGAGGUUUGGCACCUCGAUGUCGGCUCAUCGCAACCUGGGGCUGAAGUCGGUCCCAAGGGUUGGGCUGUUCGCCCAUUAAAGCGGUACGCGAGCUGGGUUCAGAACGUCGUGAGACAGUUCGGUCCAUAUCCGGUGCAUGCGCAGGAAUAUUGAGAGGAUUUCUCCCUAGUACGAGAGGACCGGGAGGAACGCACCUCUGGUGUACCAGUUAUCGUGCCAACGGUAAGCGCUGGGUAGCCAUGUGCGGAGAGGAUAACCGCUGAAAGCAUCUAAGUGGGAAGCCCACCUCAAGAUGAGUAUUCCCAUGGGGUAACCCAGUAAGGUCACGGGAAGAACACCCGUUGAUAGGCUCUACGUGGAAGCGCAGUAAUGUGUGAAGCGGAGGAGUACUAAUAGACCGAGGGCUUG